Molecule: non-coding RNA, 73 nt
Organism: Podarcis lilfordi (Lilford's wall lizard)
Lineage: Eukaryota; Metazoa; Chordata; Lepidosauria; Squamata; Lacertidae
Source: the annotation of a GenBank genome assembly
GCCCUGGUAGCUCAGUUGGUAGAGCAGAAGACUCUCGAUCUCAGGGCCAUGGGAUUAAGUUCCACAUUGGGCA